CCUACGGGCGGCAGCAGUGAGGAAUAUUGGUCAAUGGGCGAGAGCCUGAACCAGCCAAGUCGCGUGAAGGAUGACGGCCCUACGGGUUGUAAACUUCUUUUGUCAGGGAGCAAAUGAGUCCACGUGUGGGCUGAGCGAGAGUACCUGAAGAAAAAGCAGCGGCUCACUCCGUGCCAGCAGCCGCGGUAAAACGGAGGAUGCGAGCGUUAGCCUGAUUUAUUGGGGUUAAAGGGUGCGUAGGCGGAAUAUCAAGUCAGCGGGAAAAAUUCGGGGCGAAACCCCGUCGUGCCGUUGAAACUGAUGUUCUUGAGUGGGCGUGAAGUAUGCGGAAUGCGUGGUGUAGCGGUGACCUGCAUAGAUAUCACGCAGAACUCCGAUUGCGAAGGCAGCAUCCCGGCGCCCAACUGACGCUGAUGCACU
Molecule: ribosomal RNA, 420 nt
Filed under: uncultured bacterium
Lineage: Bacteria
Description: partial 16S ribosomal RNA
Rfam family: Bacterial small subunit ribosomal RNA
Source: RNAcentral